Molecule: ribosomal RNA, 253 nt
Filed under: uncultured bacterium
Lineage: Bacteria
Description: partial 16S ribosomal RNA
Rfam family: Bacterial small subunit ribosomal RNA
Source: RNAcentral
UACGGAGGGUGCAAGCGUUAUCCGGAUUUACUGGGUUUAAAGGGUGCGUAGGUGGGCAUGUAAGUCAGUGGUGAAAUCUCCGGGCUUAACCCGGAAACUGCCAUUGAUACUAUCUGUCUUGAAUAUCCUGGAGGUGAGCGGAAUAUGUCAUGUAGCGGUGAAAUGCUUAGAUAUGACAUAGAACACCAAUUGCGAAGGCAGCUCACUACGGGAUUAUUGACACUGAGGCACGAAAGCGUGGGGAUCAAACAGG